Molecule: ribosomal RNA, 1011 nt
Filed under: Lissomus sp. UPOL RK0795
Lineage: Eukaryota; Metazoa; Arthropoda; Insecta; Coleoptera; Elateridae
Description: SSU rRNA
Rfam family: Eukaryotic small subunit ribosomal RNA
Source: RNAcentral
UUGUCUCAAAGAUUAAGCCAUGCAUGUCUCAGUACAAGCCGAAUUAAGGUGAAACCGCGAAAGGCUCAUUAAAUCAGUUAUGGUUCCUUAGAUCGUACCUACAUUUACUUGGAUAACUGUGGUAAUUCUAGAGCUAAUACAUGCAAACAGAGCUCCGACCGGAGACGGAAGGAGCGCUUUUAUUAGAUCAAAACCAAUCGGCGGCGGGUUCGUUCGCGCGAGCCCGUCGUCGUUCGCCCUGGCGAAUCUGAAUAACUUUCUGCUGAUCGCACGGUCUCGCACCGGCGACGCAUCUUUCAAAUGUCUGCCUUAUCAACUGUCGAUGGUAGGUUCCGUGCCUACCAUGGUCGUAACGGGUAACGGGGAAUCAGGGUUCGAUUCCGGAGAGGGAGCCUGAGAAACGGCUACCACAUCCAAGGAAGGCAGCAGGCGCGCAAAUUACCCACUCCCGGCACGGGGAGGUAGUGACGAAAAAUAACGAUACGGGACUCAUCCGAGGCCCCGUAAUCGGAAUGAGCACACUCUAAACCCUUUAACGAGGAUCAAUUGGAGGGCAAGUCUGGUGCCAGCAGCCGCGGUAAUUCCAGCUCCAAUAGCGUAUAUUAAAGUUGUUGCGGUUAAAAAGCUCGUAGUCGAAUCUGUGUCCCGCGCCGCCGGUUCGUCGCUCGCGGCGUUUAACUGGCGUGCCCGCGGGACGUCCUGCCGGUGGGCGUCGGCUCCUUAACGGGGGCGGCCCAACUUAUAAUCCCGCCGCGGUGCUCUUCACCGAGUGUCGAGGCGGGCCGGCACGUUUACUUUGAACAAAUUAGAGUGCUUAAAGCAGGCUAAAACCUCGCCUGAAUACUUAGUGCAUGGAAUAAUGGAAUAGGACCUCGGUUCUAUUUUGUUGGUUUUCGGAACCCCGAGGUAAUGAUUAAUAGGAACGGAUGGGGGCAUUCGUAUUGCGACGUUAGAGGUGAAAUUCUUGGAUCGUCGCAAGACGGACGGAAGCGAAAGCAUUUGCCAAAAACG